CGGGGCGUGGGUCUGUAAGGCAACUGUCUUUGGUACCGUCAUCCCUGGUUCGAAUCCAGGCGCCCACGG
This 69-nucleotide transfer RNA is filed under the name Rhizobium leguminosarum. Its description in RNAcentral is "tRNA-Gln". Lineage: Bacteria; Pseudomonadati; Pseudomonadota; Alphaproteobacteria; Hyphomicrobiales; Rhizobiaceae. The record is from RNAcentral.